CCUACGGGUGGCAGCAGUAGGGAAUCUUCCACAAUGGGCGAAAGCCUGAUGGAGCAACGCCGCGUGGGUGAAGAAGGUCUUCGGAUCGUAAAACCCUGUUGUUAGAGAAGCAAGUGCGUGAGAGUAACUGUUCACGUUUCGACGGUAUCUAACCAGAAUGCCCCGGCUAACUACGUGCCAGCAGCCGCGGUAAGACGUAGGUGGCAAGCGUUAUCCGGAUUUAUUGGGCGUAAAGGGAACGCAGGCGGUCUUUUAAGUCUGAUGUGAAAGCCUUCGGCUUAACCGGAGUAGUGCAUUGGAAACUGGGAGACGUGAGUGCAGGAGAGGAGAGUGGAAGGCGAGGUGUAGCGGUGAAAUGCGUAGAUAUAAGGAAGAACACCGGUGGCGAAAGCGGCUCUCUGGUCUGUAACUGACGCUGAGGUUCGAAAGCGUGGGUAGCGAACAGGAUUAGAUACCCCAGUAGUC
RNAcentral lists this ribosomal RNA (465 nucleotides) under uncultured bacterium. Its description in RNAcentral is "partial 16S ribosomal RNA". It matches the Rfam family "Bacterial small subunit ribosomal RNA", at positions 338 to 795 of the family's 1533-position model. The record is from RNAcentral.